Molecule: unclassified non-coding RNA, 535 nt
Organism: Stegodyphus dumicola
Lineage: Eukaryota; Metazoa; Arthropoda; Arachnida; Araneae; Eresidae
Source: RefSeq, a predicted model, not a curated record
AAUAGUUAUGACAUCCGUGCUAUAUCAUUGGAGAAACCUUAUAUAGUAUAUCAACAAGAAAUGACGGAAUCUUUACUACUCGUGAAAGAAGAAGAAAAAAGGCAGCAUGAGGAUCUGCAUAUUAUUUAGCCUUAUAACUAUGAGUGUUGCUGGCCCCACAUGUCCCAUCAACCAACACUAUGAAUCGUGUGGAAAUGCUUGUCCUUCUACCUGUGAAAGUCUUGAUAAACACCCAGUGAUAUGUGUUGCCAUGUGUGUUCCAGGAUGCCAGUGUAAUCAGGGAUAUUUGAUGACAGAAAGGGGCCUCUGCGUAAAGCCCGAAGAUUGCCCAUAAUAAGGAAAAGGAAAUCUCAUAAGUAACCAUAAUGUUGUGCAACUCUGGCAGCAAAAUAGUAAUAGAUUCGUAUUAUAAGUUUUACAAAUAUAUGCAUGAAUGUGUACUGUAGAAUUUGCAAGUGGUUCAUAAUUGUAUAUUGCUUUAUCUGUUGCUUGCUUGAAAGAACUGUAUUACAAAUAAAUUAUAUUACAAAUAAAA